This 348-nucleotide ribosomal RNA is filed under the name Cyanobacterium aponinum K7. RNAcentral describes it as "bacterial SSU rRNA". It matches the Rfam family "Bacterial small subunit ribosomal RNA", at positions 416 to 780 of the family's 1533-position model. Lineage: Bacteria; Bacillati; Cyanobacteriota; Cyanophyceae; Chroococcales; Geminocystaceae. The record is from RNAcentral.
UCUUGGGUUGUAAACCUCAAAACUUAGGGAAGAAAAAAAUGACGGUACCUAAUGUAAGCAUCGGCUAACUCCGUGCCAGCAGCCGCGGUAAUACGGAGGAUGCAAGCGUUAUCCGGAAUCAUUGGGCGUAAAGAGUCCGUAGGUGGCACUUCAAGUCUGCUUUCAAAGACCGAAGCUCAACUUCGGAAAGGGAGUGGAAACUGAAGAGCUAGAGUAUAGUAGGGGUAGAGGGAAUUCCUAGUGUAGCGGUGAAAUGCGUAGAGAUUAGGAAGAACACCAGUGGCGAAGGCGCUCUACUGGGCAUAUACUGACACUGAGGGACGAAAGCUAGGGGAGCGAAUGGGAUUA